UGGGGAAUAUUGCGCAAUGGGGGGAACCCUGACGCAGCCAUGCCGCGUGAAUAAAGAAGGCCUUCGGGUUGUAAAGUUCUUUCGGUAUUGAGGAAGGUUGAUGUGUUAAUAGCACAUCAAAUUGACGUUAAAUACAGAAGAAGCACCGGCUAACUCCGUGCCAGCAGCCGCGGUAAUACGGAGGGUGCGAGCGUUAAUCGGAAUAACUGGGCGUAAAGGGCACGCAGGCGGUUAUUUAAGUGAGGUGUGAAAGCCCUGGGCUUAACCUAGGAAUUGCAUUUCAGACUGGGUAACUAGAGUACUUUAGGGAGGGGUAGAAUUCCACGUGUAGCGGUGAAAUGCGUAGAGAUGUGGAGGAAUACCGAAGGCGAAGGCAGCCCCUUGGGAAUGUACUGACGCUCAUGUGCGAAAGCGUGGGGAGCAAACAGGAUUAGAUACCCUGGUAGUCCACGCUGUAAACGCUGUCGAUUUGGGGAUUGGGCUUAGAGCUUGGUGCCCGUAGCUAACGUGAUAAAUCGACCGCCUGGGGAGUACGGCCGCAAGGUUA
This 547-nucleotide ribosomal RNA is filed under the name uncultured bacterium. RNAcentral describes it as "bacterial SSU rRNA". It matches the Rfam family "Bacterial small subunit ribosomal RNA", at positions 355 to 896 of the family's 1533-position model. The record is from RNAcentral.